This is a long non-coding RNA of Cydia splendana, 1116 nucleotides long. RefSeq lists it as uncharacterized. The record is from RefSeq and is a predicted model, not a curated record. The transcript has 2 exons. NCBI's taxonomy places the organism in Eukaryota, Metazoa, Arthropoda, Insecta, Lepidoptera, Tortricidae.
AGUUUCUUUUAAGUGCUGUUAUUGAAGCGGUAUGUCUAUUUAUGUGAGGGGAAUUACAGGAACGUAUUCAGGAUAAUAUAUAUAAACGUGUACAUAUAUCAAUUAUUUUGUGUAGGUAACUAAGUCUUAUGAAAGUUAUGAAACAUUUUUUUCGUAUUUAUUACAUACAUAUAUUAAGCGAGACAUUCGACAGCGCUGUGGUAUGACAGCCGAUUAGCAACCAAUAUGAAAACUUCCAUUGUUAAGUAAUUAUUACAUAUUUAAUUUAAAAGUACAUCAGCUUAAAGUAGUAAUGCACCUAUGACACUAUUAAGGAGGUUGGUAACUGAUGAUUUGAAAUUAAAUCUAAGUUUUAUUGGUUUCUUCUCACAUGCUGAGCAGGCAAACAACUAGGUUCAGUAUCUAUCGUAAGAAUUCUACUCACUCGUUUAUUUGAUUGCAAUUGUAGUUCUCAAGCCGAAUUCAGGCCCUAAUUAAUUUACCCGUGUUUGGUCAUGCAUAAGAAUUGCCCAGAUUAAGAAGUAAUUAUAAGUUCCUAAUAAUUUGAUGCUAAUAAACUGAAGGCAGUUAGAUGAAGAAACUGGACGCACCAUGGAAACUGGACGGGGGAUUUUGGUGUUCUUAGCCACGACCAUAUUGUGGUUAGCUCCCGGGCACGGCAUGCCAAACCGACGAUCCCUUAAAGAGUCCGAAGACGAGUGCGAAUCCGCUCACGACACUCUCUUAUGUGGCUCCAACGAUGUCACAUAUUUAAACCUAUGCGAGUUUCAAAAGGCUCUCGAUAAAGAUCCGACUAUAAAAAUUAUAGAAAAUGGAGCAUGUUUAUGUGAUCCAAUAGAAGGACAUGAAUGGGAUCCCUUAUGUGCGUCAAACGGUCAGUCCUACGCGAACAACUGCGACUUGGAAAAGGCAAGGAAGACUGAACAUUUGUCUAUACGGCAUCUUGGUUUAUGUAAUGCAAUGCUGAAGAGAGAUACGAUAACGUAUAGAGAACUACAAAAGGUAAAGUUGUGGAGUUCAUUCAUGCCCAAAAAACUUUUUGCUUCCCUUAGUAGCCGCGAUUUGGCUGAUGGACCUCGUGAUAUCAAAGCGAAAGAUGAAAAAAAACGUGGUAAA